UAAUACGGAGGGUGCGAGCGUUGUUCGGAAUUACUGGGCGUAAAGCGCGUGUAGGUGGCUGCGUAAGUCGGUUGUGAAAUCCCCAGGCUCAACCUGGGAACUGCAUCCGAAACUGCGUGGCUAGAGUCCCGGAGAGGAAGGCAGAAUUCCGAGUGUAGGGGUGAAAUCCGUAGAUAUUCGGAGGAAUACCAGUGGCGAAGGCGGCCUUCUGGACGGUGACUGACACUGAGACGCGAAAGCGUGGGGAGCAAACAGGAUUAGAUACCCUGGUAGUCCACGCCGUAAACGUUGUGCACUAGGCGUCGGGGGUAUUCACCCCUCCGGUGCCGCAGCUAACGCAUUAAGUGCACCGCCUGGGGAGUACGGCCGCAAGGCUA
RNAcentral lists this ribosomal RNA (377 nucleotides) under uncultured delta proteobacterium. RNAcentral describes it as "bacterial SSU rRNA". It matches the Rfam family "Bacterial small subunit ribosomal RNA", at positions 521 to 896 of the family's 1533-position model. Lineage: Bacteria; Deltaproteobacteria. The record is from RNAcentral.